UGAGACUUUGAUAUAAUGCAUCUAUAAUUCUCUUUGCAAUAUUCUAAGUGCAAUAUAUUGUCCACAGAUUCCGAACAUACUUCAGGACAGCGAUCCUGUGCCGUUGGCGCGACGUUUGUUGGCGCAGGAAGAGACCGCUCCCGGAGUCGCCUCCCGACUGCGUGUCCCAAUCCGGCAGUCGAUCCCGAUCAGUAUACGUCUCUACAGGUAUCGAGGAACUCAGAGAUUCAAGAGGAAAUGCAGCGGGCGAAUGGCCGCGCUCGUUGUAUCGGACUCACACCGACCACCAGUUGCUGAGACCGCCUUCGCUUGCUAGCUGCCCUAAGUGCCCGCACAGGACCUACUACGAUGCCUACAUACAUGGACGUAAAGUGUAAAUAUGUAUAACGUUUUGGCCUAAUAUGGAGUGUGAACUAAUAUAUUAAUAUUUUACGAUAACGAACUGAUGAGUAUAUUAGUAUGUAAGAUAAAUAAAUAUGUGUGUUCCAGUGUUAGUAUUAUACUCAGAAUAUAGAUGGUAAUUUCUAAUAAAUUAUGUAAGUAACUAAUUAAUAUCUUCUUGUUUUAUAUAUUAUUAGGUACUAGCAAAUACGAACAAAACAUGUAAUUCAGUCAAUAAUCUAAGUAGUUAUUCGCUCCUUUAUUCUCAAAUUAUUUUUCAUAAAAUAACUAUGUGGACAACUACGAAUGUCUGCAAUAUUUAGGCAUGCCCUAAAGAUAUACUUGAGGGACGUCGCAGUUAUCAUGUUCAAAAGGGUUAUAAGAGAAGUCACGCAUUAUGUAAUUAACUCUAGACCUGCCAAAAAGAUUGAUUGUAGAAGCACCUUUGUCAAUUCAAAUAGAAAUGCGUUAUAUCUUUUUUUAUUCCAAUUAUUUAUGUUUGUGGUUUUUAAUCACUAUUUAUAACAACACUUACAUAAUAUAUAGUGUCCCAUAAGUGAAUUUCUUAAUAGAACUGUUUUAUAGAAGUUCUAGAGGUGUUCCUUUAUUUAUGUUUUAACUUCAAUGUUUUUAGGCGUAAAUAUUAGAAAAAUAUAUCAUUUUCUUUCUACAUAUUCCGAAUAGUUACUAAAAAGCGAGUAAUAUUAUGUUUUUAUUAACAAAGGACGAAGUCAUUUAUUAUAAGAUUUUAUCAAAACAAUGUUCCGAUGUAAUAUUGAAUAUAAAAUGAAAGAUUUAUUUUAUGAGAUAAAAAAUCUUGAACGUUUUAUUAUCUCAAGUGCCCCAAUAUUUUCUUUUCUUCACAUUUGAUGAGGCUAAUGUGUGCUUACACUACAUUAAAUGCUUUAUCAAUUUUUGCAAAUCCAUUUUUCGAAUCCUAAGAAUUUUAUCUUGUUUUAAUAUCUCUCGAAUGUUCAAUAUAAAUCAGUGUUAUUCAGAAAUGAAGCAAGAUUUUUAUUAUCAGACCUUUCUUUGAUUAACUUGAAUUCGGGACGGGCCAACCAAGAUAGCAACAACAAAUUACUUUUUCACCGAAACUUAUACCGAGCUUUAGCUUUUGAAAUAUUUGGUUUAUUUCGUAUAUGUGGGGACGUUCCUACAAUAAACUGGAUAUUAAAUCCAUUUGAUAAUAAAAAUUGACCCAUAACAGUUAGUGCUAUUGGCUUUUACUGUUUCGCGAGGGACCAUUUAUCUUUAUUUGGUUGUAUAUAAUAACUUUUUGUUUGGCAAAGUUUUGUUACUAAUGUAAAGAAUAUUAUAUCAGUGCACUGGGAAUUUAGUUGAAAGAGCUUUAACAUCUCAUGUCUCUACAGUGGGAUAUUUUAAGUGUUUCUAAAUUCUGUGUAG
Molecule: long non-coding RNA, 1788 nt
Filed under: Manduca sexta (tobacco hornworm)
Lineage: Eukaryota; Metazoa; Arthropoda; Insecta; Lepidoptera; Sphingidae
Description: uncharacterized LOC119189910
Source: RNAcentral